Molecule: ribosomal RNA, 253 nt
Filed under: uncultured bacterium
Lineage: Bacteria
Description: partial 16S ribosomal RNA
Rfam family: Bacterial small subunit ribosomal RNA
Source: RNAcentral
CACGUAGGGCGCAAGCGUUGUCCGGAAUUAUUGGGCGUAAAGAGCUCGUAGGCGGUCUGUUGCGUCCGCUGUGAAAACCCGGGGCUUAACCCCUGGCUUGCAGUGGAUACGGACAGACUAGAGGUAGGUAGGGGAGAAUGGAAUUCCCGGUGUAGCGGUGAAAUGCGCAGAUAUCGGGAGGAACACCGGUGGCGAAGGCGGCAUCCUGGACCAAUACUGACGCUGAGGAGCGAAAGCCAGGGGAGCAAACGGG